This 198-nucleotide ribosomal RNA is filed under the name uncultured bacterium. Its description in RNAcentral is "partial 16S ribosomal RNA". It matches the Rfam family "Bacterial small subunit ribosomal RNA", at positions 328 to 539 of the family's 1533-position model. The record is from RNAcentral.
ACGCUCGACACCUACGGGGGCAGCAGUCGGGAAUAUUGCGCAAUGGAGGGAACUCUGACGCAGUGACGCCGCGUAUAGGAAGAAGGUUUUCGGAUUGUAAACUAUUUUAGACAGGGAAGAAUAAAGACAGUACCUGUAGAAUAAGCUCCGGCUAACUACGUGCCUGCAGCCGCGGUAAUCUGAGCGGGCUGGCAAGGC